CGGCAGCCGCUGCGCUAAAUACUAUUUAUAGGCCGGGUUUCUAAAUAGUAGUGUAUAUAUAUAUUAUUUUAAGGCCUAGCCUUUGAAUAAUACUCAUCACUUCGGCGGAGUGCCGCCACUCAGAGCCAAUACCUCCAUCCAGCAAUAUAAUUAAAAGCAAUAUAAAAGGCCACACAAUAAAUGAGCACACCUAAUUACAGCAUCUGCAUGCAAAAGGCCAAGUGAGAAAAAAAAAAUACUCCAUU
RNAcentral lists this long non-coding RNA (245 nucleotides) under Sorghum bicolor (sorghum). RNAcentral's name for it is "long non-coding RNA (SBIC_LNC013916)". Lineage: Eukaryota; Viridiplantae; Streptophyta; Magnoliopsida; Poales; Poaceae. The record is from RNAcentral.